Long non-coding RNA from Dendroctonus ponderosae (mountain pine beetle), 538 nucleotides. RefSeq lists it as uncharacterized. Lineage: Eukaryota; Metazoa; Arthropoda; Insecta; Coleoptera; Curculionidae. The transcript is spliced from 2 exons. The record is from RefSeq and is a predicted model, not a curated record.
AAUGUCAAUAUUGUCAACGCGAAAUUGUUCUUUAUUGUCAGCAUAACCUCGAAUUGAUGUGUUCGUGUGGAAAAAAAAUUCAAUAUUUUUCUCGUACUCUCCAAGUGAGUACUCCACUCCUAUUUAGAGGGUACUUAAAAGGAAUUAUGCCAAUUUUAAAUCAUCCUGUAUUAUUAUAUUUUCUGCUCUGCAUAAGAAUGCAGUUGGUCAGGCUAGUCGAGUCAGUCAGCUGGUAACCACCAAAGAGAAAUCAUAAGUUUUAAGAGUUAAGUUAGUUAAGAAAAUACACCACGUGUUUUUGUAUUAUUAUUCGCUUAUAGCGAACUCCGGAUAUAACAAACCAGUUUUAGUUCAUUUCUUAAGUUUGUUAUAUCCAGACACAACUGUAUAUCAGUUUUAAAUUUAUAUGUGUAAUGUGUUUCAUAUGUGCUAGAGCCGAAAAGCGCUCUACGAUCCAUCCAAAAUAAUGAGGCCUAUUUUGAAUCGCCUUGUAUCACUUUUCAUAACACUAAUGUAAAUAAAACAAUGUGACAGCGGA